Molecule: long non-coding RNA, 793 nt
Filed under: Anser brachyrhynchus (Pink-footed goose)
Lineage: Eukaryota; Metazoa; Chordata; Aves; Anseriformes; Anatidae
Description: lncRNA (ENSABRG00000012727.1)
Source: RNAcentral
CUCCAAGAGUGACUGUAUUUUUAUUCUCGAGUGCUGUAUCAGGAAUUUUCAGCACUAAGAAUUCAUAUUUCUUUUCAUUCCAUGAACCAGAAAAGGCUUACAAUUCUGUGAAAUGUAAUGUACAGGUCUAAUAGGAUUGUACUCUUGCCUGAUGUCACGGUAAUGAAUAAAUGAAAUAGAGAAUUGCUGACACAAUAGGAAACCGCUAGUUCAACGCAAAUAAGUCUCUGUAAAUAAAUCUGAAGUAAUUUCUCUACACAUCUUAGCUACUGCUUUAAGCUCUGCUCACAGUCAGGAGGUGGCAUGGCAUUAACAGAGGAAAAAAAAAAACAAACACAUAUAGCUACCUCCACUGUGUGUUACAGCAUAUUGCAGCUCAAGGUAGGAGUGACUUGAUGGUUCCACUCUAAAAUGCCUUGUUUAGUAACAAACUCCCCUUGCAGCCCACAUAUUAAAAAGUGCAAAAUGGCCCAUCCCAAUCAUGUAGAAGAAGAAUCUGUGAAGUGACGCAAUACUCCUGUGCACAGUUUCAAGGCUGCUGCAACAUGGCUGGCACCACCUUCGGUACAAGGAAGGGAAGCAACUCCUUGCCUCCACAGGGGGAGAAACUACUUCUGAACCAGAUUCUCAGCUGUACUGAUCCUAAGGAAAUGAGUGCCAUUCCUACCACACCUACGAAACCCACCAAUUCCAACUGCUAACUCACUGUCUGUGUUGCUGGGAUCGAAACCUGUAUGAAUGAAACACAGUUCAGACCUCACAAAAGCCUUCAGUCAGGGGGGCAGCCUUGAUA